This 105-nucleotide small nucleolar RNA is filed under the name Nelumbo nucifera (sacred lotus). RNAcentral describes it as "Plant small nucleolar RNA R71". It matches the Rfam family "Plant small nucleolar RNA R71". Rfam says of the family: R71 is a member of the C/D box family of snoRNAs containing the C (UGAUGA) and D (CUGA) box motifs. Lineage: Eukaryota; Viridiplantae; Streptophyta; Magnoliopsida; Proteales; Nelumbonaceae. The record is from Rfam by way of RNAcentral.
AGUUCAUGAUGAGGGACCUUCCUCAACAACUCCUUGUAAUGCUCCCAUGACAUACAAUGACUCUCCAUCCCGUUGAAAGAAAGUGGUGAUAUCAUUCCUCAUAUU